GGGGUAGCCAUAAUAAGUAGGCCAGCUCUUUCACCCUAGGGAUACUAUCCCUCCUCAACCAGAGUAAAGGAAUACUGCAGUUAUCGGAAAAAGAAACUAGAAAGCAACCUAGAAAGCAACCCUAGAGAAGAAGGAAAAACACAGAGAAAUUUCUCUCUCUAAACCUAGAGAGAGAGAGAGAGACAUGACUUACUAACUAAAAAAAAAGC
This 209-nucleotide unclassified non-coding RNA is filed under the name Hevea brasiliensis (rubber tree). The record is from RNAcentral. Lineage: Eukaryota; Viridiplantae; Streptophyta; Magnoliopsida; Malpighiales; Euphorbiaceae.